UCGCUCAUCAUUUUUGUGGAUGAGCAAUUUUGUUAUACGAAUCAAUUGCAUAGUCACAAAAGUGAUGGACGC
Molecule: non-coding RNA, 72 nt
Organism: Anisakis simplex (herring worm)
Lineage: Eukaryota; Metazoa; Nematoda; Chromadorea; Rhabditida; Anisakidae
Source: Rfam